GAUGAACGCUGGCGGCGUGCCUAAUACAUGCAAGUCGAGCGAACAGACGAGGAGCUUGCUCCUCUGACGUUAGCGGCGGACGGGUGAGUAACACGUGGAUAACCUACCUAUAAGACGGGGAUAACUUCGGGAAACCGGAGCUAAUACCGGAUAAUAUAUUGAACCGCAUGGUUCAAUAGUGAAAGACGGUUUUGCUGUCACUUAUAGAUGGAUCCGCGCCGCAUUAGCUAGUUGGUAAGGUAACGGCUUACCAAGGCAACGAUGCGUAGCCGACCUGAGAGGGUGAACCGCCACACGGGAACUGAGACACGGCACAGACUCCGACGGGAGGCCGCAGUAGGGAAUCUUCCGCGAUGGGGGAAAGCCUGACGGAGCAACGCCGCGUGAGUGAUGAAGGUCUUCGGAUCGGAGAACGCUGUUAUUAGGGGAGAACAAAUGUGUAAGUAACUAUGCACGUCUUGACGGUACCUGAUCAAAAAGCCACGGCUAACUACGUG
Molecule: ribosomal RNA, 497 nt
Filed under: uncultured bacterium
Lineage: Bacteria
Description: partial 16S ribosomal RNA
Rfam family: Bacterial small subunit ribosomal RNA
Source: RNAcentral